UACGGGGGGGGCAAGCGUUGUUCGGAAUUACUGGGCGUAAAGCGUGCGUAGGCGGUUUGUUAAGUCCGUUGUGAAAGCCCUGGGCUCAACCUGGGAAUUGCAGUGGAUACUGGCGAGCUAGAGUGCGGUAGAGGAUGGUGGAAUUCCCGGUGUAGCGGUGAAAUGCGUAGAGAUCGGGAGGAACACCCGUGGCGAAGGCGGCCAUCUGGACCAGCACUGACGCUGAGGCACGAAAGCGUGGGGAGCAAACAGG
This 253-nucleotide ribosomal RNA is filed under the name uncultured bacterium. Its description in RNAcentral is "partial 16S ribosomal RNA". It matches the Rfam family "Bacterial small subunit ribosomal RNA", at positions 524 to 776 of the family's 1533-position model. The record is from RNAcentral.